Molecule: RNA transcript, 1477 nt
Organism: Drosophila santomea
Lineage: Eukaryota; Metazoa; Arthropoda; Insecta; Diptera; Drosophilidae
Gene name: microfibril-associated glycoprotein 4
Exons: 5
Source: RefSeq, a predicted model, not a curated record
CAGCUAAUCAAUCGAGUGACCUUUGUUUCAAUUCACACUUGCACUGCGCCUCAGAUCAGCAGUUGAUGUUCAGUUUGCGGCUUAGUUAGUUAGUCAGUUAGUCAGCCAGUUAGUUAGCUAGUUAGUUAGCUAGUUGAGAUCGGUGGCCAGUGAUCGAAAGUGGCAAAAUGUCACAGAUGCUGCAGCUGGAUGCCUUGGUCAUGGCCAUGGCCUGUCUAUCCACCACACAGACGGAUCUGGGCGGAGGACUGAUGGUUCCGCCCUCCUUGGAAAAUGCGAGUUCCAGCAGCUGUCCGGUUUCGGCUUUAAGUGGUCUUACCACGCGGAUGCAGUCGCUCAACAACGAAAUAGCCAGUGUGAAGGAGCAGAUAGGCAGUCUGCAGGAGCAGUUGGUGGAUCUGCGAAGAGCGGGAAGUGCGCCAGUGGUGGGACUCGCUUCACCCAAUGCCCUGGCAUCUCGAUUCCUGGACAUUGAGCCACAACUGCUGGCCAACGGUGGUGCAGUGACCGCACCAACCACUCCGGCAAACUGCCUGAAACAGCAGCACGGAGUGGUGCGAAUCCGACCGCGCUCGAAUGUGGAGCCCUUCUUUGUGUUCUGCGAUCAGAAGGUGAGGAACGGCGGUUGGACCAUGGUGGUUAAUCGGUACGAUGGCAGCGAGGACUUCAAUCGCAAGUGGGCGGACUACCAGAUAGGUUUCGGACCACUGACCACCGAGUUCUUCAUCGGACUGGACAAGUUGCAUCAGAUUACCAGCAGCGACAACUACGAGCUGUUGGUGCAGCUGCAGAAUCGCAAGCAGGAGCUUAGAUAUGGCAUUUACGAUCACUUCAGCAUCGGCAGUGAAUCGGAGCAGUAUCGUCUGAAUGUCCUGGGAAACUUCCAAGGCGAUGCCGCGGAUGCACUGAGUGAGCACACGGGAAAGAAAUUCAGUACCCACGAUCGGGACAACGAUGAAAGUGAGCAAAACUGCGCGGUUCAGCAGUCGGGUGCCUUUUGGUAUGGCGCCUCUUGCAAUCUUAGCAACCCCUUUGGGCUAUACCAACGGCUUCUCGAGCGGGAUGUUGAUGGUUUUAAGGGCAUUCUGUGGCGCGGUUUCUUGGAUGGACCCAAAGGUUCGCUGAAAAUAGUUCGCAUGAUGGUUCGACCACGCGCCAUUUCAUAAAUAAGUAACUUUAUUGGCUACACCAGUCACAUUUUAUCAAAACACCCAACAGACUUCGUUGAGCUUGUCAGUCUCUUCGGUGGUUGUGGUGGUGCGAACGGUGGUGGUUGUGGUGGGAUCCUCAGAUCCUUUGACCACCAGGGCAUCUCCGAAAACUGGCUUGAAGAAGAGCACAAAGCGGGAGUAGCGACGAGCGGAGUUCUGUAAAUAUAUAAAGCAUAUUAUAAACAUUUCUUAGAAUAAUCUAGAAUAAUAUAUAUGUAUGUUGAUUAAAAAUACAUUUAUGACCAGCCUGUAAAGCCAUACUAGAA